This 700-nucleotide ribosomal RNA is filed under the name uncultured bacterium. RNAcentral describes it as "bacterial SSU rRNA". It matches the Rfam family "Bacterial small subunit ribosomal RNA", at positions 800 to 1504 of the family's 1533-position model. The record is from RNAcentral.
CCCUAAACGAUGUCAACUGGUUGUUGGGGGAGUGAAAUCCCUUAGUAACGAAGCUAACGCGUGAAGUUGACCGCCUGGGGAGUACGGUCGCAAGAUUAAAACUCAAAGGAAUUGACGGGGACCCGCACAAGCGGUGGAUGAUGUGGAUUAAUUCGAUGCAACGCGAAAAACCUUACCUACCCUUGACAUGUCCGGAAUCCUGAAGAGAUUUGGGAGUGCUCGAAAGAGAACCGGAACACAGGUGCUGCAUGGCUGUCGUCAGCUCGUGUCGUGAGAUGUUGGGUUAAGUCCCGCAACGAGCGCAACCCUUAUCAUUAGUUGCUACGCAAGGGCACUCUAAUGAGACUGCCGGUGACAAACCGGAGGAAGGUGGGGAUGACGUCAAGUCCUCAUGGCCCUUAUGGGUAGGGCUUCACACGUCAUACAAUGGUCGGUACAGAGGGUUGCCAAGCCGCGAGGUGGAGCCAAUCCCAGAAAGCCGAUCGUAGUCCGGAUUGUUCUCUGCAACUCGAGAGCAUGAAGUCGGAAUCGCUAGUAAUCGCGGAUCAGCAUGUCGCAGUGAAUACGUUCCCGGGUCUUGUACACACCGCCCGUCACACCAUGGAGUGGAAUCUGGCAGAAGUAGGUAGCCUAACCGCAAGGAGGGCGCUUACCACGCUGGGUUUCAUGACUGGGGUGAAGUCGUAACAAGGUAACCGUA